AAAUUUUGCUUACAAAGUGUUGCUUACAAAGUUUUUUUUUAUUCGCUACACUAAUAUAACGGAAAAUUUGUUACAUAUUCUCUUUGAUAUAAUAGAAACAUUUUGCAAAGACAUUCUCCCCUUCUGUGUGAAAUUUUAUAAAAGAGUGGCAUGCAAAUACUUUAUCAACUUUCAAAUGUAUAUCAUAAUGUCAACAACACGUAUUUAGCCUACAGAUAGGGCGUGUGCGGGCGAGAGCAGACCAGUCAAAGAGUCUGACAUUAGGGAUGCGAGCAUACAACGGGGGCGAGUUGGAAUAUACCAUACGUUGUAAAAUGCAUUUUAUCAUUGUGAUGCCUUCGCAAUCGCAGAAUAUUAUGCGAGAAAUGCAACGGCGCACGUCCAUCAGUCGUCUGGGUCAUUGAUCACGAAUGCAUAAUAUGUGAAUAUCAACUAAUCGCGAAUCAUGCCGGACAACGCCGUGAAUUUUUUCCGUGGCAUUUUCAUAUGCGAUCGACUUCACGAUCGAGCUCCGAAGUUAUCCUGUUUUAACUAUUGACUGAGAAUUCCUUUUAUUUUGAGAAGAGGCAAAAAGUCAAUCGUGAAUUCGAUAUGCUCGUAAUCGAUAGUUAUAGCUAAGCUAAUCACAAGUAAUAAUGCUGUACGACAAAAAAUGUAAAAUUUUCAAUCUGAAUGGGAACUGAUUUUGACGUCAACGAAAUUUCGAAUUGCUGCCAUAUAUGAUGGAAGAUUCUAAUAUUUUAUAUAAAGCAUUUAUUGUAUCAAGUUAUUUAAGCUUUUCUAUCUCUUCCGUCGAAUAUAUAGAUGUAUAAUAAAACAUUAAAUGAAAGAACAUAAAUCUUUUAUAAGUAAGACUGUUUAUAUAAUGUAAUAUGUCGAUAAUCUACGCAAAAGUCUUAUAAUUUAAACGUCUUUUUAUGCAAA
Molecule: long non-coding RNA, 924 nt
Organism: Wasmannia auropunctata (little fire ant)
Lineage: Eukaryota; Metazoa; Arthropoda; Insecta; Hymenoptera; Formicidae
Exons: 2
Source: RefSeq, a predicted model, not a curated record